RNAcentral lists this ribosomal RNA (429 nucleotides) under Gemmatimonadota bacterium. RNAcentral's name for it is "Gemmatimonadetes bacterium partial 16S ribosomal RNA". It matches the Rfam family "Bacterial small subunit ribosomal RNA", at positions 355 to 776 of the family's 1533-position model. Lineage: Bacteria; Pseudomonadati; Gemmatimonadota. The record is from RNAcentral.
UAGGGAAUCUUCGGCAAUGGACGAAAGUCUGACCGAGCAACGCCGCGUGAGUGAAGAAGGUUUUCGGAUCGUAAAACUCUGUUGUUAGAGAAGAACAAGGACGUUAGUAACUGAACGUCCCCUGACGGUAUCUAACCAGAAAGCCACGGCUAACUACGUGCCAGCAGCCGCGGUAAUACGUAGGUGGCAAGCGUUGUCCGGAUUUAUUGGGCGUAAAGCGAGCGCAGGCGGUUUCUUAAGUCUGAUGUGAAAGCCCCCGGCUCAACCGGGGAGGGUCAUUGGAAACUGGGAGACUUGAGUGCAGAAGAGGGGAGUGGAAUUCCAUGUGUAGCGGUGAAAUGCGUAGAUAUAUGGAGGAACACCAGUGGAGAAGGCGGCUCUAUGGUCUGUAACUGACGCUGAGGCUAGAAAGCGUGGGGAGCAAACAGG